RNAcentral lists this ribosomal RNA (406 nucleotides) under uncultured bacterium. RNAcentral's name for it is "partial 16S ribosomal RNA". It matches the Rfam family "Bacterial small subunit ribosomal RNA", at positions 30 to 526 of the family's 1533-position model. The record is from RNAcentral.
AUUGAACGCUGGCGGCAGGCCUAACACAUGCAAGUCGAACGAGUGGCGGACGGGUGAGUAAUGUCUGGGAAACUGCCUGAUGGAGGGGGAUAACUACUGGAAACGGUAGCUAAUACCGCAUACCAUCGGAUGUGCCCAGAUGGGAUUAGCUAGUAGGUGGGGUAACGGCUCACCUAGGCGACGAUCCCUCGCUGGUCUGAGAGGAUGACACUCCACACUGGAACGUAGAACCGGUCCAGCCUCCUACGGGAGGCACCAGGGGGGAAUAUUUCACAAUUGGCGCAAGCCUGAUGCAGCCAUGCCGCGUGGAUGAAGAAGGCCUUCGGGUUGGAAAGUACUUUCAGCGGGGAGGCGUUACCCGCAGAAGAAGCACCGGCUAACUCCGUGCCAGCAGCCGCGGUAAUAC